This 301-nucleotide ribosomal RNA is filed under the name uncultured bacterium. RNAcentral's name for it is "partial 16S ribosomal RNA". It matches the Rfam family "Bacterial small subunit ribosomal RNA", at positions 509 to 807 of the family's 1533-position model. The record is from RNAcentral.
CAGCAGCCGCGGUAAUACGUAGGGUCCGAGCGUUGUCCGGAAUUAUUGGGCGUAAAGAGCUCGUAGGCGGUCUGUCGCGUCUGCCGUGAAAUCCUCAGGCUCAACCUGAGGCGUGCGGUGGGUACGGGCAGGCUAGAGUGCGGUAGGGGAGAAUGGAACUCCUGGUGUAGCGGUGGAAUGCGCAGAUAUCAGGAAGAACACCGAUGGCGAAGGCAGUUCUCUGGGCCGUAACUGACGCUGAGGAGCGAAAGCGUGGGGAGCGAACAGGAUUAGAGACCCCGGUAGUCCCUGUCUCUUAUAC